Molecule: ribosomal RNA, 264 nt
Filed under: uncultured bacterium
Lineage: Bacteria
Description: partial 16S ribosomal RNA
Rfam family: Bacterial small subunit ribosomal RNA
Source: RNAcentral
GUCCACGCCCUAAACGAUGUCAACUGGGUGUUGGGGAAGCGAUUCCUCAGUACCGUAGCUAACGCGUGAAGUUGACCGCCUGGGGAGUACGGCCGCAAGGUUAAAACUCAAAGGAAUUGACGGGGACCCGCACAAGCGGUGGAUGAUGUUGAUUAAUUCGAUGCAACGCGAACAACCUUACCUACCCUUGACAUGUCCGGAAGCUUGCCGAGAGGUGAGUGUGCCCGAAAGGGAAUCGGAACACAGGUGCUGCAUGGCUGUCGU